This 656-nucleotide ribosomal RNA is filed under the name uncultured bacterium. RNAcentral's name for it is "bacterial SSU rRNA". It matches the Rfam family "Bacterial small subunit ribosomal RNA", at positions 167 to 810 of the family's 1533-position model. The record is from RNAcentral.
UACCGCAUAACCAUAGUUACCGCAUGGUAACUAUGUAAAAGGUGGCUAUGCUACCGCUUUUGGAUGGGCCCGCGGCGCAUUAGCUAGUUGGUGGGGUAAAGGCUUACCAAGGCAAUGAUGCGUAGCCGAACUGAGAGGUUGGUCGGCCACAUUGGGACUGAGACACGGCCCAAACUCCUACGGGAGGCAGCAGUAGGGAAUCUUCCACAAUGGGCGAAAGCCUGAUGGAGCAACGCCGCGUGGGUGAAGAAGGUUUUCGGAUCGUAAAACCCUGUUGUUAGAGAAGAAAGUGCGUGAGAGUAACUGUUCACGUUUCGACGGUAUCUAACCAGAAAGCCACGGCUAACUACGUGCCAGCAGCCGCGGUAAUACGUAGGUGGCAAGCGUUAUCCGGAUUUAUUGGGCGUAAAGGGAACGCAGGCGGUCUUUUAAGUCUGAUGUGAAAGCCUUCGGCUUAACCGGAGUAGUGCAUUGGAAACUGGGAGACUUGAGUGCAGGAGAGGAGAGUGGAACUCCAUGUGUAGCGGUGAAAUGCGUAGAUAUAUGGAAGAACACCAGUGGCGAAAGCGGCUCUCUGGUCUGUAACUGACGCUGAGGUUCGAAAGCGUGGGUAGCAAACAGGAUUAGAUACCCUGGUAGUCCACGCCGUAAACGAU